UCGGGAAUUUUGGGCAAUGGGUGAGAGCCUGAUCCAGCCAUGCCGCGUGCAGGAAGAAGGCGUUAUGCGUUGUAAACUGCUUUUGCCAGGGGAUAAAAUGACCGUGCGCGGUUAAUUGAAGGUACCUGGUGAAUAAGCCACGGCUAACUACGUGCCAGCAGCCGCGGUAAUACGUAGGUGGCAAGCGUUGUCCGGGAUUUAUUGGGUUUAAAGGGUGCGUAGGUGGCCCUGUAAGUCAGUGGUGAAAUAUCUCAGCUUAACUGAGAGGGUGCCAUUGAUACUGCAGGGCUUGAGUACAGAUGAGGUAGGCGGAAUUGACGGUGUAGCGGUGAAAUGCAUAGAUAUCGUCAAGAACACCGAUAGCGAAGGCAGCUUACCAAGCUGUAACUGACACUGAGGCACGAAAGUGUGGGGAUCAAACAGGAUUAGAUACCCCCGUAGUCCCUGAGCGGGCUGGCAAGGCGCAU
RNAcentral lists this ribosomal RNA (467 nucleotides) under uncultured bacterium. RNAcentral describes it as "bacterial SSU rRNA". It matches the Rfam family "Bacterial small subunit ribosomal RNA", at positions 355 to 825 of the family's 1533-position model. The record is from RNAcentral.